GAUGAACGCUGGCGGCGUGCCUAAUACAUGCAAGUCGAGCGAACAGACGAGGAGCUUGCUCCUCUGACGUUAGCGGCGGACGGGUGAGUAACACGUGGAUAACCUACCUAUAAGACUGGGAUAACUUCGGGAAACCGGAGCUAAUACCGGAUAAUAUAUUGAACCGCAUGGUUCAAUAGUGAAAGACGGUUUUGCUGUCACUUAUAGAUGGAUCCGCGCCGCAUUAGCUAGUUGGUAAGGUAACGGCUUACCAAGGCAACGAUGCGUAGCCGACCUGAGAGGGUGAUCGGCCACACUGGAGCUGAGACGCGGACCAGACUCCUACGGGAGGCAGCAGUAGGGAAUCUUCCGCAAUGGGCGAAAGCUUGACGGAGCAACGCCGCGUGAGUGAUGAAGGUCUUCGGAUCGUAAAACUCGGUUAUUAGGGAAGAACAAAUGUGUAAGUAACUAUGCACGUCGUGACGGUACCUAAUCAGAAAGCCACGGCUAACUACGUG
RNAcentral lists this ribosomal RNA (497 nucleotides) under uncultured bacterium. RNAcentral's name for it is "partial 16S ribosomal RNA". It matches the Rfam family "Bacterial small subunit ribosomal RNA", at positions 28 to 507 of the family's 1533-position model. The record is from RNAcentral.